CCAAGAAGGCAAGUCGUGUCCUUGAUCACUACCUUUUUGUCCCAUACACCUUUACUUUCUCGUACUCAACAUUUAUGCUAUGCACAUAUUAAGAUUAAAUUGAUGGGUCCCAAUUAAGGUUCGCCUAGAUUGAUUUACCUUUGCCUUGACCAACCGGUUUACUUUAUGUUGGGUAGCUCAUGCUUAGUGCUUACUUGGUAUACGGUGGUUUAAC
This 214-nucleotide long non-coding RNA is filed under the name Setaria italica (foxtail millet). RNAcentral describes it as "long non-coding RNA (SITA_LNC006899)". The record is from RNAcentral. Lineage: Eukaryota; Viridiplantae; Streptophyta; Magnoliopsida; Poales; Poaceae.